UUAGGAAUUUUGGGCAAUGGGCGCAAGCCUGACCCAGCAACGCCGCGUGGGUGACGAAGGCCUUCGGGUUGUAAAGCCCUUUUCUGAGGGAAGAUGAUGACGGUACCUCAGGAAGAAGCACCGGCUAACUACGUGCCAGCAGCCGCGGUAAUACGUAGGGUGCGAGCGUUGCCCGGAUUUAUUGGGCGUAAAGGGCGCGUAGGCGGCCACGCACGUCCGUUGUGAAAUCGCUCGGCUCAACUGGGCGGGGUCAGCGGAUACGGUGUGGCUGGAGCAAGCUAGGGGGCAAUGGAAUUCCCGGUGUAGUGGUGGAAUGCGUAGAUAUCGGGAGGAACACCAGUGGCGAAGGCGGUUGCCUGGAGCUUUGCUGACGCUGAGGCGCGAAAGCGUGGGGAGCGAUC
RNAcentral lists this ribosomal RNA (401 nucleotides) under uncultured bacterium. Its description in RNAcentral is "bacterial SSU rRNA". It matches the Rfam family "Bacterial small subunit ribosomal RNA", at positions 355 to 773 of the family's 1533-position model. The record is from RNAcentral.